Molecule: RNA transcript, 2241 nt
Organism: Mercurialis annua (annual mercury)
Lineage: Eukaryota; Viridiplantae; Streptophyta; Magnoliopsida; Malpighiales; Euphorbiaceae
Gene name: deoxyribodipyrimidine photo-lyase-like
Exons: 5
Source: RefSeq, a predicted model, not a curated record
GUUAACAUGUGACAAGAGACCCUUGUAAAUUGUGCCUAAUCCAAUAAACUUCACUGCCAAAUUCAUCUUUGCAUGAGCUAAAUGAAUAUAAUGGAGAUAUUCUGUUAUUACCAAGGAUCGUAGCCACAGAGAUGCCGAGCAAAGUCUCAGUCAUGAUUAAUUUAUUCCUUCAAGUCUAAAACUAUCGCGAGAUUUCAGCAUUUUAAUUUUUGCUCUCUCCUUUCUCUCUUUUAGGGUUUCAACAGCAACAACAGUCUUCCUCCACCUUCUCCGCCUCUACCGUCGUGAAAUCAUCGUCACCUUCUAUUACUUCAGUAGAGCAGGUGAUUUGGCUCUCGCCGUCGCCGUAAAGUUCUUCAUGUGUCAUGCCUUUUCGGUUACUAUUCCGUGGUCGAUCGCCAGGAGAAGAAGAAGAGGAUGCUAUUCUCGUAUGAAUCUUCUUUCUUACUUUGAUGAUUUUUUAGUUUUUGUAAUUUUUAGGUUUCCGUGCUUUUUAAUUUUAGUACUUUCUGUUCAAAUUUUUGACUCGUUUUGUGUGAUUUGGUUUGAAUUGCUAAUUUUGACAUUCAAAUGAAAUCGAAGCUGUACCAAUUUGAUGAGGAAGGGGAUCAGUGGAAGAAAAGGGGAGCAGUAAGUGUGAAGUUGUUAAAGCAUGUCUUGUAAUAGGAAAAGUAAUAAUAAAUUUUGGAUCAACGUGAUUGCAUCUGUUCAACAUCGAGAUUAUGGAUCAACAUUGUACUUACCGUCUCAUCUGACAAAUCCGCAAAGAUAUGGGAAAUUUUGGAAAUUGGGGAUGGAAGUGUGAAGAAAGCAUAGGAAUGUCCUGGUUCCGGUGGAGUAGAUGACAUGCUAAUCGAAUGCCUUUGGCAAAAUGACACUCUUUGUUAUACUUGUCGAUCCUUCUCUAUUCAUUUUCACUUUCUUAUACAAAAUUGGAUUACUCUGACAUCACAGUAUGUGUCAGUGUACUAAUUUGUAUUUGACUGUACGUUAUUGAUUAAACUGUUUGAUAAAUUAAUUGCUCAAUUAAUGUCAGGUUGAGCUUCGAAUAUUUGAUGGAUUGGUGAAGGAAAGAACACAAUGUGCUCCAAAUGGAUGCUAUUUCAUUCCAGUAUAUGAAUGAAACCAUCAUGCUUAGAUGGAUAAGGUUUUUGUGUAUUAUUAAUGCUUACCAUCACAUCAAUUUUAUGAUAUAUUUAAUCUUAAUUAUUCUGUUUGUUUUCCUUUGUUCAAUUUUAUGUUGGUACAUGGAAAUUCAUACUUCUUGGAGUAUGUAUUAGUGCGUACUGACUUGGAUACCUUGGUAUGAUCAAUUUGCUUGACAUUUUUAUCAAUGUUUUUGUUUUCCCUCUUUAGUCUUUUGAAAAACUUUCAAUUGUGGAUACUGGACGAUUAUGGAAUCGAUGUUUUUCAUAUUCCAUUUUAACAUUAUACAAUGCUUCAAAGAGGACAUCAAAUCACUUUUACAGCUUGUUAAUUAUACUUAUACUUAGUCAAGACUCUUCUUUUAAUGCAAGCAUUCACAAGAUGGUGACAUUGCUUUUUCAUGGUUUAUGGCAGGUUGUAUAUGCUGUAAUGCACAGGCAGGAGAUUUUUCAGCCAUUUAAGAAUCAUCCACGCUUCAGUGAACUAAUUAAAAAUAUAUACAUGUUGCAUGGAUGCUCAAACACACGAUGGGGAAUGGUCAGUAAAGAAAGUCCUCCAACUUAUUAUUAUCAAUUGUCAAUCAUGGUGAGGUGAAGCGAUGAAGGCUCCAUCAGCAUAUGGUUCAUUUAACUUAAAACUCUACAAUGCAGUAUGAAAUAGAUGGAAGAGACCCUAAGGGAUAUGUCGGUUGCCUGUGGUCGAUUUGUGGUGUUCAUGACCAGGUUUCGUUCAUUGGCAUAAUCAAUUGCUCUAUUUGUUUCUAUUACAUAAUCAUUAUCAUUGCUGAUGACCUCUUUAAGGGUUGGAGAGAAAGACCGGUUUUUGGGAAAAUUAUGUACAUGAAUAAUGCAGGCUGCAAGAGGAAGUUUGAUGUUGAUGGCUACAUUGCUUAUGUGAAGAGUUUAGUAAAUGAAAUGAAGAAGAAAAAAUUAGAUCACCAAGUGAUUUUGUAGAUUUUGGUGAUGUAUUAUAUCUAUUCGAUGGAUUAUAUUUUGCACAAUUAUGUUAUGAUGUAAUAGAUGGAUGGAUAUUUUGUAUGGAUGGAUAUUUUGCCCAUUUAUGUCGUGAUGUAAUAGAUGAAUUUUUUCCGUUUUU